This is a non-coding RNA of Paramuricea clavata, 109 nucleotides long. The record is from the annotation of a GenBank genome assembly. Lineage: Eukaryota; Metazoa; Cnidaria; Anthozoa; Malacalcyonacea; Plexauridae.
UCCUAAGGCCAGCUCAGUGAGGACAGAAACCUCGCGUAGAGCAAAAGGGCAAAAGCUGGCUUGACCUUGCCCUUCAGUACGGGGCGAGGAGCAGAAAUGUCGGCCUAUC